GAUGAAGAACGCAGCGAAAUGCGAUAAGUAAUGCGAAUUGCAGAAUUCCGUGAGUCAUCGAAUCUUUGAACGCACAUUGCGCCCUUUGGCAUUCCGAAGGGCAUGCCUGUUCGAGCGUCAUUUAUCAACCCUCAAGCCCGGCUUGCGGUUGGUCCCGCCGUGGGCGACCACGGCGGACCCGAAAGGUAAUGGCGGUGCCCGUGGGGCCCUGGACGCAGCGAGCUUCUCGGCACGCGUCCCGGCGGUCCCCGGCGCCGUCUCCACCAAUCCACCACGCAGAUUGACCUCGGAUCAGGUAGGGAUACCCGCUGAACUUAAGCAUAUCAAUAAGCGGAGGA
RNAcentral lists this unclassified non-coding RNA (338 nucleotides) under soil metagenome. Its description in RNAcentral is "partial contains 5.8S ribosomal RNA, internal transcribed spacer 2, and large subunit ribosomal RNA". The stretch from base 1 to 120 matches the Rfam family "5.8S ribosomal RNA", at positions 35 to 154 of the family's 154-position model. The record is from RNAcentral.